CUUCCUUUUGUUUGCUUAGAUUCUUAUAAAUUCUUCUUUCUUCGUUUAUCUCUCCUGUGUUUUAUUUCUUUUUCCUCUUUCCUUUUUGCUACGUUUUUGGUGGUUUUCACAGCUGAUUUUGGGUUUCCUAGCUGCAAAAAGGGAGGGAGAAUGGAUAUUUCUUUGCGUCUUUUUAAUUUUUUUUUAAUCAUAUAUGUGUUUUAGAGCAAAACUUGCGGGCUUAAUCUACUUUGAUUUUCAUUAAGUUGUUCUUUCUGCUGCAUGUGUUCGCUAUGGCUUGAGAUAAACAGUGGGACUUAAAUUUGCAGCAUUUGGAACUUGCUAAUUUAGUUUUUAUUCUCCUGUUUGCUAAUUUAAUUUUUUCUUGGAAUUUUGUUAGAAAAAAAAAAGGUUACAGUAGAUAGUUUUGUUUUGUUGAUGAAACCAUAAAUAGAAAGUUACUUUCAGGACCAAAAUUCAACACAAGGUAUAGAGAAAAUCUUAACUUUGCUGAGAGGUCGGUCUAUUUGUUCUUUCAUUUUUUUCUUUUUUGUUUUUGCUGUUUUGGGGUGUCAUUUUGUUUAUUUCUGUAUGAUUUCUUUGGUAUUUAUUUUAUUCUUGCUGCUCUGUUUGGUUGUGGAUUUUAAGCAUUUGACGUUGUUUUCCUUUUAUUGAUGUAUACUUAGCCAUCUUUUUUUCUUUGAUGUUCUGCCAUUUUUCACUAUGUUGGCUGCUCAAGUUGUCCUUUUGUGAUUACAUAACUAUAACUUUGGUGAUCCUGUAAAAUUAUCUGCCAAACUUACAAACAUAUAUGGAGAAUGGAGUAACCAUAGAUAUCGUCAAUGUAUUCCAUCAACACAAGUGAGUUCUUUUUAUCAGAACUGUCUGUGUCAAUUGAUCAUUUGGACAAUUUCGCAAAAUAUAAGACAUAUGAAGCCUACUAUUUGUAUUAAUUACAUCAGUAUAUAAACUGAUAAAAAUUGAUGAAAAGAUGAGUUUAGUUUUCCUAGCCAAUAAUUAUGUUGUGCCAAUGGUAUGCCUAACUCUUAUGGUUUUGCCUUAUUUGGCUGUAAAGUAGGUAUCUUUUAACCAUUCUGAGAAUUUUGUGGAUGAGGUAUACUUAGCCAACUUUUAACCCACUUUAAUUAUUUUUCAGGAGAUAUAAAAUGACACAGCGACUUGGCAUAUAUGCAAUCACUCCUGAAAUACCGGACCUGUAAAGUGCAAGUUGUGGAUAUAUGCAAACCAGGAGAAGGUUCUUACCGAAAGAUAAAAUAUUUGAACAUGAUCUUUCAAGAUGAACAAGAAGACCAAAUAAAAGCUAUUAUUUACGGUGAUGACAUCUCCUCUUAUCAAGAUAUAUUCAAGUUGUUCCACACCUAUUUGAUAACGGGUGCGCGCAUACAAGUACCAAAUUUGAGAUGUGAAAGACCCUUGCAUACAUUUGAGUGGAUUAUUGACAAAAAAAACCAUAGUUGAUCCAAUUGAAAAAGAUGAUCCAGAUGAGGAUGAAUUGCCACCACCCACAAAGCUGAAUCUUACAUCAUUUGAAGACAUCAACAAUCAGGCCUCCCAGUCUACCAAAGAGCAGCUUAAGGACGUAGAAUUUAAUAUACUUGCAAUUGUUGUCCGCUGCUUCCCGCCAAGGUUUGUUGCAAAAGUCCAGAAAAGAUUGCAAGAAGUCAUUCUCAUUGAUACUGACAAACAAGCCUUGACCUUCACACUAUGGGAAGACACUUUUAUUGAGGACGAAGGCAGAAAACUCCUUGACCAAUUCCAAAAACGUCCUAUUAUCUUUGUCAGGCGUAUUGGGGUAUCCAAGUACAAUGGUACAUCGUUGACAACAAAAUUUAACACCACAAUACAAAUUGAUCCCCCUUAUACCCAAUGCCUACAAUUGCACACAUGGGUCACAUAAAACAAGGAAAUGCUUGCUUCUUUCAGUUUGAGGAGCACAUCUGAAUCUGGAUCUCUUAUCAGCAUUUCAGUAGAUGAACAAAUAGUCCCAAUUGCAAAUGUUCAAUCACAACAGGACGGGCAUUCCUUCUCCAUUGAGGCAAAAGUAUUACUUCCAGAUAAACUCAAAAGUUGUUAUGUUUUACUAUGUCCCAACUGCAAACAAGAAGUUAGAAGUUUAAUAAAAAGAAAGUUUCUGUGUAUGAUUUGUAAGCAACGAAAUAUGUUAAUUCCCAGGUGCAGAUUUGAUGUAAAUCUCCAAGAUGCUUCCGGAUCAAUAAUUGGGAUAAUUAUGGACAAAGAAGCAGAAAAAUUAUUAUCCCUUACCACAGAUGAGAUUUACGACCUUGCUUCAAAUGAGGAUGAGUUUCUACCAAUGCAGAAUAUUCAGAGCAAGCUAAAUCAGAACUUUUACAUAAUUCAAGUGAAAAAAUCAUUCUCCCGCACUUCUCAAGCAACAUCUGGAAAAUUGUACAUUUUGUCUUUCGCUGAAAAAGGAAAAAUCGUACAUUCUCUCCCUGAAUCACCAAAAACUGAUAUUGAAGAAGGCAACAAAAGGAAAAAGAAACAUUUAGUUUCUUUUGAUGAAGAAACAGAAGUACCAACCGAGCGACGUCACUCGCUCAAGCUGAAACAAAAACUGGAGCCAACAACUCCAGUAAAAAGGAAAUAAAGGAUAGCCUUUUUUUGCAAUCACUUUUGCGUUUUGCGGAACAAAGAAAUCAAUUCUCUUUUGAAGUUUGCUUUUCACUUUUUGUUUAAGGUAUACAUUUCUAUUUCUUUGAAUCUAUUUAUUUAUUUCCAUGUAUUACUAUCUUUCUGUCUGAUGUGGGAUUUCACUGGGUUGUUGUUGUUGUUGUUGUUGUACUAUCUUUCUGUCUCCUACUAAAGCAAUGACUGUGUUAGAGAGAGGAGCUUCAAACAACUGUGUCAUUUGAGAUCAAAGAGGGGCGAUGUUCCUUAUUUCUUUGGGGAUUUAAUCUGUGAAUUCGUCCUCUAUGAAAUUCCAAUGAUUAAUAUUAGCUUCUCAACCUUUGUUUGCCAUGCAAAGGUUGUACUACAGCAGUUUUGAAGCACCAAUCAAGUACUACGGCAGCAUGUCUUUCAAAGAAGCAGCAAAAUAUGAUAACUACAUGGAUCAUGAGGGCUGCGGUGGCUAAUGACCUCUUCACUAACAAGAGUUUCACGCUAUGAAGACUUGGAAAGAAAUUGAUGAGUACGUACUGGUUUCACAAGCACAUGAAGAAACGACAGUAAGAAAGCAACCUCAUAGCUUGAUGUUGAGGUACCCAACUAGGAAAAUUGGGGUACAAUUGAUGGAGGUCAUUGCAAUUCUAUGCUUGGACGUAUAUGUGCUCUUCAAGAAAAGUUUAUAGCCAACUACAGCUACUUGAAUCCAGAUUGUAGUCCCUUACACGAAGAACAUCAAAAAUUUCACACCUUCUCUCUUUCUAACAAACUUGGCAAUGUAAUAGUGUAACUUUGUUCCGCACAAUAUGAAGCAUAUUAUCUUUAUAUAAAGCAUAUUUAACUUGA
Lycium barbarum (goji berry) is the source of this 3471-nucleotide long non-coding RNA. RefSeq lists it as uncharacterized. The record is from RefSeq and is a predicted model, not a curated record. NCBI's taxonomy places the organism in Eukaryota, Viridiplantae, Streptophyta, Magnoliopsida, Solanales, Solanaceae. The transcript has 15 exons.